This 91-nucleotide small RNA is filed under the name Sinorhizobium meliloti 2011. RNAcentral describes it as "putative ncRNA". Lineage: Bacteria; Pseudomonadati; Pseudomonadota; Alphaproteobacteria; Hyphomicrobiales; Rhizobiaceae. The record is from RNAcentral.
UCGUUCAUCUGGCUGAGGUUUGGGUUCGCCGCCUCAAGGACCUUCUAUUCACCACGAUUAGGAUGCGAGGUCUCGCGCCGCGCGGGCGUGG